RNAcentral lists this unclassified non-coding RNA (336 nucleotides) under soil metagenome. RNAcentral describes it as "partial contains 5.8S ribosomal RNA, internal transcribed spacer 2, and large subunit ribosomal RNA". The stretch from base 1 to 120 matches the Rfam family "5.8S ribosomal RNA", at positions 35 to 154 of the family's 154-position model. The record is from RNAcentral.
GAUGAAGAACGUAGCGAAAUGCGAUAAGUAGUGUGAAUUGCAGAAUUCAGUGAAUCAUCGGAUCUUUGAACGCACAUUGCGCCCCUUGGUAUUCCAUGGGGCAUGCCUGUUCGAGCGUCAUUUGUACCUUCAAGCUUUGCUUGGUGUUGGGUGUUUGUCUCGCCUUUGCGUGUAGACUCGCCUUAAAAUAAUUGGCAGCCGGCGUAUUGAUUUCGGAGCGCAGUACAUCUCGCGCUUUGCACUCAUAACGACAGCGUCCAAAAGUACAUUUUACACUCUUGACCUCGGAUCAGGUAGGGAUACCCGCUGAACUUAAGCAUAUCAAUAAGCGGAGGA